RNAcentral lists this ribosomal RNA (888 nucleotides) under methanogenic prokaryote enrichment culture B31_3_93. RNAcentral's name for it is "bacterial SSU rRNA". It matches the Rfam family "Bacterial small subunit ribosomal RNA", at positions 8 to 916 of the family's 1533-position model. The record is from RNAcentral.
AGAGUUUGAUCCUGGCUCAGGAUGAACGUUGGCGGUGUGCCUAAUACAUGCAAGUCGAACGGAGUUAAUAGCAAUAUUGACUUAGUGGCGAACGGGUGAGUAACGCGUUGGUGAUCUGCCUCGAAGUGUGGAAUAACGUUCCGAAAGGAACGCUAAUACCGCAUGUGCUCUCGAUUUUUAGAAAGUUGAGAGUAAAGGAUUUAUUCGCUUCGAGAGGAGCCUGCGUCCCAUCAGCUGGUUGGUAGGGUAACGGCCUACCAAGGCUAUGACGGGUAGGGGACCUGAGAGGGUGGCCCCCCACAAUGGAACUGAAACACGGUCCAUACACCUACGGGUGGCAGCAGUAGGGAAUAUUAGAAAUGGACGAAAGUCUGAUCUAGCAACACCGCGUGUGCGAAGAAGGCCUUCGGGUCGUAAAGCACUUUUUGGAAGGAAUAGGAAGGAAUGUACUUCCAGAAUAAGUCUCGGCUAACUACGUGCCAGCAGCCGCGGUAACACGUAGGAGGCGAACGUUAUCCGGAUUUACUGGGCGUAAAGCGCGUGUAGGUGGUACUGUAAGUAGGGCGUGAAAGCUCCCGGCUCAACUGGGAGAGGCCGUUCUAAACUACAGAACUAGAGGAUGGUAGAGGGAGGUGGAAUUCCAGGUGUAGCGGUGGAAUGCGCAGAUAUCUGGAGGAACACCGGUGGCGAAGGCGGCCUCCUGGACCAUUCCUGACACUCAGACGCGAAAGCUAGGGUAGCAAACGGGAUUAGAGACCCCGGUAGUCCUAGCCCUAAACGAUGUAGACUAGGCGUCGGAAGUUUAAUCACUUUCGGUGUCCAAGCUAACGCGAUAAGUCUACCGCCUGGGGACUACGGCCGCAAGGUUAAAACUCAAGGAAUUGACGG